GACGAACGCUGGCGGCGUGCUUAACACAUGCAAGUCGAGCGGUAAGGCCCUUUCGGGGGUACACGAGCGGCGAACGGGUGAGUGACACGUGGGUGACCUGCCCUUAGCUCUGGGAUAAGCCUGGGAAACUGGGUCUAAUACCGGAUAUGACUCCAUAACGCAUGUUGUGGGGUGGAAAGCCUUGUGCGGCUAGGGAUGGGCCCGCGGCCUAUCAGCUUGUUGGUGGGGUGAUGGCCUACCAAGGCGACGACGGGUAGCCGGCCUGAGAGGGCGACCGGCCACACUGGGACUGAGACACGGCCCAGACUCCUACGGGAGGCAGCAGUGGGGAAUCUUGCGCAAUGGGCGAAAGCCUGACGCAGCGACGCCGCGUGGGGACGACGGCCUCGGUUGUAACGU
Molecule: ribosomal RNA, 399 nt
Filed under: uncultured bacterium
Lineage: Bacteria
Description: bacterial SSU rRNA
Rfam family: Bacterial small subunit ribosomal RNA
Source: RNAcentral